This 439-nucleotide ribosomal RNA is filed under the name uncultured bacterium. RNAcentral describes it as "bacterial SSU rRNA". It matches the Rfam family "Bacterial small subunit ribosomal RNA", at positions 340 to 773 of the family's 1533-position model. The record is from RNAcentral.
UACGGAAGGCAGCAGUGGGGAAUAUUGGACAAUGGGCGCAAGCCUGAUCCAGCCAUGCCGCGUGUGUGAAGAAGGCCUUCGGGUUGUAAAGCACUUUUGUCCGGAAAGAAAAGCUUAGGGUUAAUAACCUUGAGUCAUGACGGUACCGGAAGAAUAAGCACCGGCUAACUUCGUGCCAGCAGCCGCGGUAAUACGAAGGUGCAAGCGUUACUCGGAAUUACUGGGCGUAAAGCGUGCGUAGGUGGUUUGUUAAGUCUGAUGUGAAAGCCCUGGGCUCAACCUGGGAAUGGCAUUGGAAACUGGCUUACUAGAGUGCGGUAGAGGGGUGUGGAAUUCCCGGUGUAGCAGUGAAAUGCGUAGAUAUCGGGAGGAACAUCUGUGGCGAAGGCGACACCCUGGACCAGCACUGACACUGAGGCACGAAAGCUGGGGAGCAAAC